AACGUAGACCUCAAGCGUUAUCCGGAUUUAUUGGGCGUAAAGCGUGUGUAGGAGGUCUUGUGCGUCUUUGCUUAAAUCCCACCGCCUAACGGUGGACCUGGCAGAGAUACGACGAGACUGGAGGAGGUUAGAGGUAAGCGGAGCGCACGGUGUAGGGGUGAAAUCCGUUGAUAUCGUGCGAAACACCAAAGGCGAAGGCAGCUUACUGGGACUUUCCUGACUCUGAGACACGAAAGCGUGGGGAGCAAAAAGG
RNAcentral lists this ribosomal RNA (253 nucleotides) under uncultured bacterium. RNAcentral describes it as "partial 16S ribosomal RNA". It matches the Rfam family "Bacterial small subunit ribosomal RNA", at positions 524 to 776 of the family's 1533-position model. The record is from RNAcentral.